Molecule: long non-coding RNA, 736 nt
Filed under: Mytilus galloprovincialis (Mediterranean mussel)
Lineage: Eukaryota; Metazoa; Mollusca; Bivalvia; Mytilida; Mytilidae
Source: RNAcentral
AUUUUUCAACUUUUUAUAUAACACUAGAAUUAAAGAGAGAAAUAUCAUAUACUUUGAAGGGGAGGUAAUCAAUCUUCUCGCUUAACUUUUUUUGUGUUGAUUCUUUUUUUUAUUAUAGUCCUAUGAAUAUUUUCUUCAGUAGUUGGUAUAAUUUAUUCAACUAUCUAAGAUAAUAUUAAAUUUAUAAGCUAAAUUAAAAUGUUGAUUAGUUCAAGGGAAAAAGCACAAGUAAGUCACAAUGCUUUACAAAGGGAAAUAACUCCAAUGUCAAUCAAAAAUCCAUAUACCUACCUCUGUUGGAAGCAGUUCAGUUGUAUUUUAACUUCUUAUAUAUUAGUAGUGCAUGGAAUUUAAUAUUUAAUACUCAAAACAUCAAUUAAGAUAUCUGGUUGUGGUUAUAUUGUCAGGUAAUGGUAAUUCUUCUAUGUUUUCUAAAAUGUUGGAAAGCUUAACAAAUUAGUAUUCUAUCUAUCCACAUGCAUGUUAAAAAAACAUAUUUUUUUACCUAAUAUUACUGUUGUAUAUAAAAUUUUUGGUAUAAUGUAUUGCAACCUUUGUUGCUGUCGAUGAAAUACAUUGUGAACACAGAUAUUAAUAUAUCUUUGCAGUGAAACUUCAUUAUACUUUAUAAUAAAUAAUUAAAAUAAUUGAGCAUCGUAAAAUAUUUUCUUAUUAUGAAGAGAUGUAAAAACAGGUGUCUACUUUGUUUUGCAGCCAUUUCCUUAUAAAAUGAAAG